RNAcentral lists this long non-coding RNA (223 nucleotides) under Phaseolus vulgaris (common bean). RNAcentral's name for it is "long non-coding RNA (PVUL_LNC005047)". The record is from RNAcentral. Lineage: Eukaryota; Viridiplantae; Streptophyta; Magnoliopsida; Fabales; Fabaceae.
UGCAGUUAGCUGACAUCUUCACAAAACCAUUACCAAAAGAGAGGUUUUUCUUCUUAAGAAAUGAGUUAGGUAUUCUUGAUCUUAAUAAUCUCUCUUAAAUCUGUUUUUGGUACAUGUUAAAGUCUAUUUGUGAAGACAAAUAGGGGGAGAACUAUUGGUUCUUGUAUAUCUUUGUCUGGUAUUGCAUAAAAUGUUAAAAUCUCUGAUAUAAAAGUGUUUUCUG